AGGCUCUUAGCUCAGUUGGUAGAGCAUCACCUUGACACGGUGGGGGUCAGCGGUUCGAGUCCGCUAGAGCCUACCA
This 76-nucleotide transfer RNA is filed under the name Acidobacteriota bacterium. Its description in RNAcentral is "tRNA-Val". It matches the Rfam family "tRNA". Rfam says of the family: Transfer RNA (tRNA) molecules are approximately 80 nucleotides in length. Their secondary structure includes four short double-helical elements and three loops (D, anti-codon, and T loops). The record is from RNAcentral. RNAcentral also lists the same sequence under 3 other names. Lineage: Bacteria; Pseudomonadati; Acidobacteriota.